This 821-nucleotide ribosomal RNA is filed under the name uncultured bacterium. RNAcentral describes it as "bacterial SSU rRNA". It matches the Rfam family "Bacterial small subunit ribosomal RNA", at positions 10 to 809 of the family's 1533-position model. The record is from RNAcentral.
AGUUUGAUCCUGGCUCAGAAUCAACGCUGGCGGCGUGCCUCAGACAUGCAAGUCGAACGCGAAAGUUCCCUUCGGGGAGCAAGUAGAGUGGCGCACGGGUGAGUAACACGUAGGUAAUCUACCUUUGGAUGGGGAAUAACAACCGGAAACGGUUGCUAAUACCGCAUAAUGCAGCGGCACCUAAUGGUGACAGUUGUUAAAGCGGGGGAUCGCAAGACCUCGCGUCUGAAGAGGAGCCUGCGGCGGAUUAGCUAGUUGGUAAGGUAACGGCUUACCAAGGCGAUGAUCCGUAGCCGGCCUGAGAGGGCGGUCGGCCACACUGACACUGACAUACGGGUCAGACUCCUACGGGAGGCAGCAGUCGGGAAUUUUGGGCAAUGGGCGAAAGCCUGACCCAGCAACGCCGCGUGAAGGAUGAAAUCCCUCGGGAUGUAAACUUCGCAAGAACGGGAAGAAUAAGUAGGGGACAAUACCCCCUAUGAUGACGGUACUGUUUGUAAGCUCCGGCUAACUCCGUGCCAGCAGCCGCGGUAAUACGGGGGGAGCAAGCGUUGUUCGGAUUUACUGGGCGUAAAGGGCGCGUAGGCGGCCACCGCAAGUCGACUGUGAAAUCUCCGGGCUUAACUCGGAAAGGUCAGCCGAUACUGCGGGGCUAGAGUGCAGAAGGGGCAACUGGAAUUCUCGGUGUAGCGGUGAAAUGCGUAGAUAUCGAGAGGAACACCUGCGGCGAAGGCGGGUUGCUGGGCUGACACUGACGCUGAAGUGCGAAAGCUAGGGGAGCGAACGGGAUUAGAUACCCCGGUAGUCCUAGCCUUAAACGA